RNAcentral lists this non-coding RNA (28 nucleotides) under Homo sapiens (human). Lineage: Eukaryota; Metazoa; Chordata; Mammalia; Primates; Hominidae. The record is from RNAcentral.
UGGCAGAUGAUGAUUUCCUGACAGUGAC